This is a non-coding RNA of Podarcis lilfordi (Lilford's wall lizard), 76 nucleotides long. The record is from the annotation of a GenBank genome assembly. Lineage: Eukaryota; Metazoa; Chordata; Lepidosauria; Squamata; Lacertidae.
GCAUGAGGGAUAGCUCAGCUGGUAGAGCAUGAGGCUCUUAAUCUCAGGGUCGUGGGUUCGAACCUCAUGUUGGGCG